Molecule: ribosomal RNA, 406 nt
Filed under: uncultured bacterium
Lineage: Bacteria
Description: partial 16S ribosomal RNA
Rfam family: Bacterial small subunit ribosomal RNA
Source: RNAcentral
AUUGAACGCUGGCGGCAGGCCUAACACAUGCAAGUCGAACGAGUGGCGGACGGGUGAGUAAUGUCUGGGAAACUGCCUGAUGGAGGGGGAUAACUACUGGAAACGGUAGCUAAUACCGCAUACCAUCGGAUGUGCCCAGCUGGGAUUAGGUAGUAGGUGGGGUAAAGGCUCACCUAGGCGACGAUCCCUAGCUGGUCUGAGAGGAUGACCGGCCACACGGGAACGGAGACACGGUCCAGACUCCUACGGGAGGCAGCAGUGGGGAAUAUUGGAACAUGGGCGCAAGCCUGAUGCAGCCAUGCCGCGUGUAUGAAGAAGGCCUUCGGGUUGUAAAGUUCUUUCAGCGUGGAGGCGUUACCCGCAGAAGAAGCACCGGCUAACUACGUGCCAGCAGCCGCGGUAAUAC